Molecule: ribosomal RNA, 450 nt
Filed under: uncultured bacterium
Lineage: Bacteria
Description: partial 16S ribosomal RNA
Rfam family: Bacterial small subunit ribosomal RNA
Source: RNAcentral
GUGGGGAAUAUUGGACAAUGGGCGCAAGCCUGAUCCAGCAAUGCCGCGUGGGUGAAGAAGGCCUUCGGGUUGUAAAGCCCUUUUGUACGGGAAGAAAUCAUACGGGUUAAUACCCUGGGUGGAUGACGGUACCGUAAGAAUAAGCACCGGCUAACUUCGUGCCAGCAGCCGCGGUAAUACGAAGGGUGCAAGCGUUAAUCGGAAUUACUGGGCGUAAAGCGUGCGUAGGUGGUUGUUCAAGUCUGUCGUGAAAGCCCUGGGCUCAACCUGGGAAUGGCGAUGGAAACUGGGCGACUAGAGUGCGGUAGAGGAUGGCGGAAUUCCCGGUGUAGCGGUGAAAUGCGUAGAGAUCGGGAGGAACAUCCGUGGCGAAGGCGGCCAUCUGGACCAGCACUGACACUGAGGCACGAAAGCGUGGGGAGCAAACAGGAUUAGAUACCCUGGUAGUCC